This 433-nucleotide long non-coding RNA is filed under the name Vitis vinifera (wine grape). Its description in RNAcentral is "long non-coding RNA (VVIN_LNC000837)". The record is from RNAcentral. Lineage: Eukaryota; Viridiplantae; Streptophyta; Magnoliopsida; Vitales; Vitaceae.
AAUUUUUUUAAAAAAAACACCAAAAACUGUUCUUAAAAAUUGUUCUCAAAAACUGUUUUCCAAAACAGUUUUCAAAAACAGCAACCAAACAGGCCCUAAAUAUUCCAUUCAUAUAUAUAGUCAACUUCUGGAAACUUCCACAACUAAAGUAUAGUGUCCAAGAGAGCACCUUGAUGAUGCCGUCAGCCUUACACCCUAAAGGUCUUCUUCCACAUAUACAAAUUUCCAUUUUCCAUUUUUUUUUUCAAUUGCACGGAUGGAGCUAAAUCAUUUUUGAGAGACAAGCGUCUAAAAAUGUACAACAAGGCAGUUCUGACUUCUGAGUAGCAUGGGAUGAAGUAGCUGCAGAUUACAUAAGAGCAUAAAUAUUAGAAAUAGAGAGAUGCCAUCAAAUUGUAUGUCUUUUAUUCAAAAUGAUUAAGCUCCGCCGUUU